Cornus florida is the source of this 2027-nucleotide long non-coding RNA. RefSeq lists it as uncharacterized. The transcript has 4 exons. The record is from RefSeq and is a predicted model, not a curated record. Lineage: Eukaryota; Viridiplantae; Streptophyta; Magnoliopsida; Cornales; Cornaceae.
UUCGUUCAGUGCAGCCCUCUCUCUCUCUCUCCGCCUCUGUAAAAUCUAAAAGAGAAGAAAGCUUCUCAAAAACCCUAGUUGCUUCUUUACUAUUAGUGAUUCCACCCAUCCCCUAACUAGGAACUGUAACAGCAGAACAACAAAGACUGCCCUAUCCUUGGCCGCAGUCGAAUCGAGAGGGGGUACAAGUACGCCAGUGCUUUUCUUUGGCUAUCCCAGCUAUCGAGCUGGACUGAUUGACACUGUUUUACUCCCCGGUCUUUCUUUCUCUCCGAAGGCUUCAACGAGAAAAGAGGGGUUAAUCUUGGCCCGAAGAAAGUCAGGCUAGCAACGCCAAAAUAAGAUGCCCUAUCUCUCCCCGUCUCUAUAACCCAGCCGUAACGGUAUCCCUACUUCUCAAGUUCAGAUUUCUACUAUUCUUCUAACUCUCUACUUAUUUCCUUCAUAGCCUCCCUUCAGGUUCGUCUUUCUCUCUCUCUCUCCCCCCCACACACACAAACAUAUUGUUUUUAAUCUCACUGCAUAACUAGCUCUUACGAUUUUAAUUUUUUGUUUAAUUUAAAGUAAUUGUUAUGCUUUUAUUAUUACAAUAAGCUUAUGUACACUCAUUUUGCUGUUGAUGGUACUAUUCAUGCAUCAUUAAGAAUUUAUUGGCAAAAGAAGGACAAUUGAGAAUCAAUUUAGUGCUAUCUAAAACGUAAUGGAAUUAUUUGUUCCCAUGGAAUCCAAAUGUCCCCAUUCCUUUCCAUGAUUAUAUAGUAUUGUCAUUCUCAUCAUUUUAUCAGUUAAGAUAAAAUUCCCAUAUUGGGAAACAAGAAUAAAAGAUGCAUAUUGCAUCAUUAAUAAAGCAUGCAUAGACUUGAAACUUGAAUGGCAACCAGUUUAGAUGGAGGCCAAACACAAGUUCAUGGUGAUAUAUAUAUGUGUGUGUAUGUGUGCAUGUGCGCAUAUAUGAAAUUUCAAUGUCAAUUUAUAAUUCCCUUGACAAAACCCCACAUUUAAUAGUACAUGACCUGUAAUAUGUGAACACAGAAGUGUUGCCUUCUGACAUGAACAGAAGGUGCUAAACACACAUCACCAUACACAUAAAAGGUGAAUCUUGUUAUAUUUGAAUAUUUGAAUAUCCUAUCCUUGUUGUAGAGACUUAAGUAGUGAAGAAAGUAUAAAAUAAUAAUAAUAAAAAAGUGUCACUCACUUCUUAUUUUGCAUUAUAUAGUAUGGGUGAAAUCUAGUAUAGAGUCAACAAGUGUUUGACACAGUAAUACCAAGCUUGAGAUCCAGGUUAGUAAGGGAUGGUUUUAGUAUUGUACUUGUAGUCUGAACUUUCAAUUAAUAUUAAAUAAUGGUGCUUUUAAUGGUUUGAAAGAGUAUUAAAAUGUUAAGCUUAUAAUCUGGUAAAUACAGAUCAAAUUGGACAAAGAAAAGAAAAUUAUUAGGCUGGCCGUGAUAAAGGGAUAGGUAUGACGAAAGAGGAUUUGAUUAAGAACUUGGGAACCAUAGCCAAAUCUGGAACAUCAGCUUUUGUGGAGAAAAUCCAAACAAGUGGAGACCUUAAUCUCAUUGGUUAGUUUGGUGUUGGGUUCUACUCAGUAUAUCUUAUUGCUGACUAUGUUGAAGUUGUUAACAAACAUAAUGAUGAAAAACAGUAUGUAUGGGAAUCAAAGGUUGAUGGAGCAUUUGCUAUUUCUGAGGAUGUUUGGAAUAAGCCACUUGGUCGUGGAACUGAAAUCAGAUUGCAUCUUAGAGAAGAAGCCGGGGAGUACUUGGAGGAGAUCAAAUUAAAGUUACUUGCUAGGAUUUUGUAGCAUGGACAAUGAGGUGGUUUUUUGACAAGUGCAGACUUAAACUCAAGUGCUAGAAGGUUUAUAAAUUUGCUAAAUAGAAGUGCUAGGAAAUUGAUGAUAUUCUUGACAAAUGGAUUUAGUUCCUGUUUUGGAACAUUGAUGAAUGGUAAAUUGUUUUGGAAUAUUAGUAAAUGAUGAAUUUUUUAAUUGUAGAAUGAAUUUUUUUUUGUAGUGAUAGGUAGA